CUGCUGCCUUCCGUAGGAGUCUGGUCCGUGUCUCAGUACCAGUGUGGGGGACCUUCCUCUCAGAACCCCUACGCACCGUCGCCUCGGUGGGCCGUUACCCCGCCGACUAGCUAAUGCGCCGCAUGCCCAUCCCCCGCCGGAAUCGCUUCCUUUGGCCGCAGACCCAUGCAGGUCCGCGGCGUUACGCGGUAUUAGUCGGGAUUUCUCCCGGUUAUCCCCCUGCGGGGGGCAGGUCGCAUACGUGUUACUCACCCGUGCGCCGGUCGCCGGCAGG
RNAcentral lists this ribosomal RNA (274 nucleotides) under uncultured bacterium. RNAcentral describes it as "partial 16S ribosomal RNA". The record is from RNAcentral.